RNAcentral lists this ribosomal RNA (403 nucleotides) under uncultured bacterium. Its description in RNAcentral is "bacterial SSU rRNA". It matches the Rfam family "Bacterial small subunit ribosomal RNA", at positions 356 to 773 of the family's 1533-position model. The record is from RNAcentral.
GGGGAAUAUUGCACAAUGGGGGAAACCCUGAUGCAGCGACGCCGCGUGAAGGAAGAAGGUUUUCGGAUCGUAAACUUCUAUCAGCAGGGACGAAGAAAGUGACUGUACCUGACUAAGAAGCCCCGGCUAACUACGUGCCAGCAGCCGCGGUAAUACGUAGGGGGCAAGCGUUAUCCGGAAUCACUGGGUGUAAAGGGUGCGUAGGCGGUAGGGCAAGUCAAAUGUGAAAACCCGGAGCUCAACUUCGGGAUUGCAUUUGAAACUGUCCUACUAGAGUGCAGGAGAGGAAAGCGGAAUUCCAAGUGUAGCGGUGAAAUGCGUAGAUAUUAGGAAGAACACCAGUGGCGAAGGCGGCUUUCUGGACUGUAACUGACGCUGAGGCACGAAAGCGUGGGUAGCGAAC